Molecule: transfer RNA, 71 nt
Filed under: Candidatus Daviesbacteria bacterium
Lineage: Bacteria; Candidatus Daviesiibacteriota
Description: tRNA-Thr
Rfam family: tRNA
About the family: Transfer RNA (tRNA) molecules are approximately 80 nucleotides in length.
Source: RNAcentral
GCCGAUAUAGCUCAGUGGUAGAGCACGUCAUUGGUAAUGACGCGAUAUGAGUCCGAUUCUCAUUGUCGGCU